This 261-nucleotide ribosomal RNA is filed under the name uncultured prokaryote. Its description in RNAcentral is "partial 16S ribosomal RNA". It matches the Rfam family "Bacterial small subunit ribosomal RNA", at positions 524 to 784 of the family's 1533-position model. The record is from RNAcentral.
UACGGAGGAUCCGAGCGUUAUCCGGAUUUAUUGGGUUUAAAGGGUGCGCAGGCGGGAGAUUAAGUCGGCGGUGAAAUUUUGCAGCUCAACUGUAAAAGUGCCUUCGAUACUGGUGGUCUUGAGUGUGGAUGAGGUAGGCGGAAUUUGUGGUGUAGCGGUGAAAUGCAUAGAUAUCACGAGGAACUCCGAUUGCGCAGGCAGCUUACUAAACCAUAACUGACGCUCAGGCACGAAGGCGUGGGGAUCAAACAGGAUUAGAUA